RNAcentral lists this ribosomal RNA (353 nucleotides) under Escherichia coli. RNAcentral's name for it is "partial 23S ribosomal RNA". It matches the Rfam family "Bacterial large subunit ribosomal RNA", at positions 919 to 1268 of the family's 2925-position model. The record is from RNAcentral. Lineage: Bacteria; Pseudomonadati; Pseudomonadota; Gammaproteobacteria; Enterobacterales; Enterobacteriaceae.
CAAGGGGGUCAUCCCGACUUACCAACCCGAUGCAAACUGCGAAUACCGGAGAAUGUUAUCACGGGAGACACACGGCGGGUGCUAACGUCCGUCGUGAAGAGGGAAACAACCCAGACCGCCAGCUAAGGUCCCAAAGUCAUGGUUAAGUGGGAAACGAUGUGGGAAGGCCCAGACAGCCAGGAUGUUGGCUUAGAAGCAGCCAUCAUUUAAAGAAAGCGUAAUAGCUCACUGGUCGAGUCGGCCUGCGCGGAAGAUGUAACGGGGCUAAACCAUGCACCGAAGCUGCGGCAGCGACGCUGAUGCGUUGUUGGGUAGGGGAGCGUUCUGUAAGCCUGCGAAGGUGUGCUGUGAGG